CAAUUUAAACAACGAAGAGUUUGAUCCUGGCUCAGGAUGAACGCUAGCGACAGGCUUAACACAUGCAAGUCGAGGGGCAGCACAGGUAGCAAUACCGGGUGGCGACCGGCGCACGGGUGAGUAACGCGUAUGCAACUUGCCUAUCAGAGGGGGAUAACCCGGCGAAAGUCGGACUAAUACCGCAUGAAGCAGGGAUCCCGCAUGGGAAUAUUUGCUAAAGAUUCAUCGCUGAUAGAUAGGCAUGCGUUCCAUUAGGCAGUUGGCGGGGUAACGGCCCACCAAACCGACGAUGGAUAGGGGUUCUGAGAGGAAGGUCCCCCACAUUGGUACUGAGACACGGACCAAACUCCUACGGGAGGCAGCAGUGAGGAAUAUUGGUCAAUGGCCGAGAGGCUGAACCAGCCAAGUCGCGUGAGGGAUGAAGGUUCUAUGGAUCGUAAACCUCUUUUAUAAGGGAAUAAAGUGCGGGACGUGUCCUAUUUUGUAUGUACCUUAUGAAUAAGGAUCGGCUAACUCCGUGCCAGCAGCCGCGGUAAUACGGAGGAUCCGAGCGUUAUCCGGAUUUAUUGGGUUUAAAGGGUGCGUAGGCGGCCUUUUAAGUCAGCGGUGAAAGUCUGUGGCUCAACCAUAGAAUUGCCGUUGAAACUGGGGGGCUUGAGUAUGUUUGAGGCAGGCGGAAUGCGUGGUGUAGCGGUGAAAUGCAUAGAUAUCACGCAGAACCCCGAUUGCGAAGGCAGCCUGCCAAGCCAUGACUGACGCUGAUGCACGAAAGCGUGGGGAUCAAACAGGAUUAGAUACCCUGGUAGUCCACGCAGUAAACGAUGAUCACUAGCUGUUUGCGAUACACUGUAAGCGGCACAGCGAAAGCGUUAAGUGAUCCACCUGGGGAGUACGCCGGCAACGGUGAAACUCAAAGGAAUUGACGGGGGCCCGCACAAGCGGAGGAACAUGUGGUUUAAUUCGAUGAUACGCGAGGAACCUUACCCGGGUUUGAACGCAUUCGGACCGAGGUGGAAACACCUUUUCUAGCAAUAGCCGUUUGCGAGGUGCUGCAUGGUUGUCGUCAGCUCGUGCCGUGAGGUGUCGGCUUAAGUGCCAUAACGAGCGCAACCCUUGCCACUAGUUACUAACAGGUAAAGCUGAGGACUCUGGUGGGACUGCCAGCGUAAGCUGCGAGGAAGGCGGGGAUGACGUCAAAUCAGCACGGCCCUUACAUCCGGGGCGACACACGUGUUACAAUGGCGUGGACAAAGGGAAGCCACCUGGCGACAGGGAGCGAAUCCCCAAACCACGUCUCAGUUCGGAUCGGAGUCUGCAACCCGACUCCGUGAAGCUGGAUUCGCUAGUAAUCGCGCAUCAGCCAUGGCGCGGUGAAUACGUUCCCGGGCCUUGUACACACCGCCCGUCAAGCCAUGGGAGCCGGGGGUACCUGAAGUCCGUAACCGCGAGGAUCGGCCUAGGGUAAAACUGGUGACUGGGGCUAAGUCGUAACAAGGUAGCCGUACCGGAAGGUGCGGCUGGAACACCUCCUUUCUGGAGC
RNAcentral lists this ribosomal RNA (1540 nucleotides) under Parabacteroides sp. CT06. Its description in RNAcentral is "16S ribosomal RNA". It matches the Rfam family "Bacterial small subunit ribosomal RNA". The record is from RNAcentral. Lineage: Bacteria; Pseudomonadati; Bacteroidota; Bacteroidia; Bacteroidales; Tannerellaceae.